This 464-nucleotide ribosomal RNA is filed under the name uncultured Alphaproteobacteria bacterium. RNAcentral describes it as "bacterial SSU rRNA". It matches the Rfam family "Bacterial small subunit ribosomal RNA", at positions 9 to 521 of the family's 1533-position model. The record is from RNAcentral. Lineage: Bacteria; Pseudomonadati; Pseudomonadota; Alphaproteobacteria.
GAGUUUGAUCUUGGCUCAGAACGAACGCUGGCGGCAGGCUUAACACAUGCAAGUCGAGCGCAUCGCAAGGUGAGCGGCAGACGGGUGAGUAACGCGUGGGAAUCUACCCAAUACUACGGAAUAGCUCCGGGAAACUGGAAUUAAUACCGUAUGUGCCCUACGGGGGAAAGAUUUAUCGGUAUUGGAUGAGCCCGCGUUGGAUUAGCUAGUUGGUGAGGUAACGGCCCACCAAGGCGACGAUCCAUAGCUGGUCUGAGAGGAUGAUCAGCCACACUGGGACUGAGACACGGCCCAGACUCCUACGGGAGGCAGCAGUGGGGAAUAUUGGACAAUGGGCGAAAGCCUGAUCCAGCCAUGCCGCGUGAGUGAUGAAGGCCUUAGGGUUGUAAAGCUCUUUCAGUGGGGAAGAUAAUGACGGUACCCACAGAAGAAGCCCCGGCUAACUUCGUGCCAGCCGCCGCGGU